Molecule: long non-coding RNA, 347 nt
Filed under: Homo sapiens (human)
Lineage: Eukaryota; Metazoa; Chordata; Mammalia; Primates; Hominidae
Source: RNAcentral
CCUGACCUCGUGAUCCGCCCAUCUCGGCCUCCCAAAAUGCUGGGAUUACAGGCAUGAGCCACCAGAACCGGACAUGCUUUCCUUAAAAGCUAAAUAUUUUAGGCUUGUGUGCCAUUAGGCUCUGUUACAACUACUUAAUUCUGCUUUUGUAAUUCUAUAGCACCCAUUGAUAAUACAUAAACAAAUGAGCAUGAAUGUGUCUCAGUAAAAAUUUGUUCACAUAAACAGGCAGUCCACCCAUGAAGCUAUAGCUUGCUGACCCCUUGUUUAAACAAUCAAUUGAAUUCAAACAGAAAUAAAAGGAUCUUAUAUAUUUAACCAUGUUGAUACCAUUUCCAGUGCUUUUC